GGGGUUGUGGCUCAGCGGUAGAGCACUUACCUAGCACGUAUGAGACCCUGGGUUCGAUCCUCAGUACCACA
This 71-nucleotide transfer RNA is filed under the name Marmota monax (woodchuck). RNAcentral describes it as "tRNA.Ala". It matches the Rfam family "tRNA". From Rfam's summary of the family: Transfer RNA (tRNA) molecules are approximately 80 nucleotides in length. The record is from RNAcentral. Lineage: Eukaryota; Metazoa; Chordata; Mammalia; Rodentia; Sciuridae.